GACGAACGCUGGCGGCGUGCCUAAUACAUGCAAGUAGAACGCUGAAGGAGGAGCUUGCUUCUCUGGAUGAGUUGCGAACGGGUGAGUAACGCGUAGGUAACCUGCCUGGUAGCGGGGGAUAACUAUUGGAAACGAUAGCUAAUACCGCAUAAGAGUAGAUGUUGCAUGACAUUUGCUUAAAGGUGCAAUUGCAUCACUACCAGAUGGACCUGCGUUGUAUUAGCUAGUUGGUGGGGUAACGGCUCACCAAGGCGACGAUACAUAGCCGACCUGAGAGGGUGAUCGGCCACACUGGGACUGAGACACGGCCCAGACCCCUACGGGAGGCAGCAGUAGGGAAUCUUCGGCAAUGGACGGAAGUCUGACCGAGCAACGCCGCGUGAGUGAAGAAGGUUUUCGGAUCGUAAAGCUCUGUUGUAAGAGAAGAACGAGUGUGAGAGUGGAAAGUUCACACUGUGACGGUAUCUUACCAGAAAGGGACGGCUAACUACGUGCCAGCAGCCGCGGUAAUACGUAGGUCCCGAGCGUUGUCCGGAUUUAUUGGGCGUAAAGCGAGCGCAGGCGGUUAGAUAAGUCUGAAGUUAAAGGCUGUGGCUUAACCAUAGUACGCUUUGGAAACUGUUUAUCUUGAGUGCAAGAGGGGGAGAGUGGAAAUUCCAUGUGUAGCGGUGAAAUGCGUAGAUAUAUGGAGGAACACCGGUGGCGAAAGCGGCUCUCUGGCUUGAACUGAAACUAAAGCUCCAAACGUGGGGAGCAAUAGGAUUAAAUACCCUGGUAGCCAAGGGCGAAGUCUAAAUGGAUAUCGAGCUGUCCAUCCCGUCCGCCCGGGGGGGUGAGUAAGUAAUAAAAAAUAUUUUCCCCUUAGAGGGAAACUAGGGA
This 879-nucleotide ribosomal RNA is filed under the name uncultured Streptococcus sp. RNAcentral describes it as "bacterial SSU rRNA". It matches the Rfam family "Bacterial small subunit ribosomal RNA", at positions 28 to 873 of the family's 1533-position model. Lineage: Bacteria; Bacillati; Bacillota; Bacilli; Lactobacillales; Streptococcaceae. The record is from RNAcentral.